This 308-nucleotide ribosomal RNA is filed under the name uncultured eukaryote. Its description in RNAcentral is "partial 18S ribosomal RNA". It matches the Rfam family "Eukaryotic small subunit ribosomal RNA", at positions 1470 to 1796 of the family's 1831-position model. The record is from RNAcentral.
CCCUUAGAUGUUCUGGGCCGCACGCGCGCUACAAUGGCAAACUCAGCGAGUCUCCUUUACCGACAGGUAUAGGAAAUCUUUUCAGUGUUUGCCGUGAUGGGGCUAGACCCUUGUAAUUAUUGGUCUCCAACGAGGAAUUCCUAGUAAACGCAGGUCAUUAACCUGCAUUGAUUACGUCCCUGCCCUUUGUACACACCGCCCGUCGCACCUACCGAUUGAAUGGUCCGGUGAAGUCUCCGGACUGAGUACUUUUAGUACUUGGGAAGUUGACUAAACCUUACUAUUGAGAGGAAGGUGAAGUCGUAACA